UAAAAAGGUGGGGAGCAGUUCUCGCGAUAUCGGCCGGGAUUCGGUCUUUUUCCGGCAAGGCCUGCGACAAAGAUGGCGGAAGUGGAGCAGAAGAAGAAGCGCACGUUCAGGAAGUUCACCUAUCGAGGUGUGGACCUGGAUCAGCUCCUUGACAUGUCCUACGAGCAGCUGAUGCAGCC
Molecule: long non-coding RNA, 179 nt
Organism: Gekko japonicus
Lineage: Eukaryota; Metazoa; Chordata; Lepidosauria; Squamata; Gekkonidae
Exons: 3
Source: RefSeq, a predicted model, not a curated record